Long non-coding RNA from Rhea pennata, 1299 nucleotides. RefSeq lists it as uncharacterized. Lineage: Eukaryota; Metazoa; Chordata; Aves; Rheiformes; Rheidae. The record is from RefSeq and is a predicted model, not a curated record. The transcript has 4 exons.
UCUCCGGCCGCGCCGCGCCGCGCUUCUCCGUUCUCGCCCCAGCACCACCGCCUCCGCCGGACGCACGGGCAGCUGGCGGGCCGGCCGCGGGCAGGGGGGCCGCCAGCCUGGGCUACACCGCAGAAACCGAGAAGGCAGGAGAGAAAUAUGCUGCAGAUCUGAACUUGAGUCAAAUGACUUCACUAUAGUCCGUGAUCCUCCAAGAAUUAACCAACUAAACAGGAAUUUUACAAAUACGACCUAAGAACACUGGUGAAGCCUGGGAACUUGGAGGAGAAAUGGGAUCAUAUGGGUGCUGGCUGAUUGGCUGCUUUGGAAUUCCUUCCUGCUUAGUCAAAGCCCUUUCAUCAGGCUGCGAAUAGCAAGUCAGCACGAUACAACGCUGCUGGUUCCUACGCGGAGAUCUGAUGACCUGCAUCUACUCUGCCCCGCUGCAGCAUUUCCAGAAGCGCCCUUGAGCCGGCGUCCGCGGAGCGUUCGGGCUGAGCCGAGCCGGGUGCGCCGCGAACGCCGCCCCGCAGCUCUGCAGAGGGUCGCUGGACCGAGAGCCGCCCCAGGGCUGCGCUUCGCGGGAACCGGGACCUUUCACCGCCCCCCGGCGCCGCUGCGCUCUGCCGCGGGAAACUCCCCGAGCAGCCCCGGCUUCCAGGUAGCGCCUCGGAGCACCGCCGGAUCCUGAGGCAGACCUUGCCCAGCUCUCCCACGUUACCACCCGCACGUUUGAGAAAAACCUCAAAUUAAAAAGACAAAGUCACUUUUUGCAUCAAACAUAAGCCUUGACAUGUAUAACUACGAUAAAAUUCGGGGACGGUUCACCUCAUGUGUUUCAAAUGUUCCUAUACAUAUUUUUUUUUUUUUUUUUUUGCAGAGGGAAUUAUGAAAGGGAAAUAGCACCCCAAAGUGUAUUUUGCAAUGUUACAAAGAGAAAAAAGAACAAUAUGCUGUUUUACUGUGAGUUUACUAUUCAAUAUUCCAAUGGAUCAUUCAAUCAGGAAAAAAAAAAGAAAAAGAGUACUGCAAAUAAAUUAAAUUUUCAUCCUGAGCCGCGGUAUUGUUGUCAGCACAGGUUACUAAACUGUGAAAUAAGAAAAGAACAUGGAGACCCUGUUUGCACUUAGUUGCAAAUAAACUGUAGAACAUGAUAUUGUUAGUUGACAUUUCAAUUGUGAAAGUUUCUCAUUUCCUGCAAGCUUAGGCAAAUGAGGGAUUUAAACUAUAUUUUAUUUUUAUGGCUACAUUUUCCAGUAGUCAGCUGUUUCCGAUUGACAAUAAAAUUCCUAAUGGUGGUUCUCUGUUUUA